RNAcentral lists this ribosomal RNA (253 nucleotides) under uncultured bacterium. RNAcentral's name for it is "partial 16S ribosomal RNA". It matches the Rfam family "Bacterial small subunit ribosomal RNA", at positions 524 to 776 of the family's 1533-position model. The record is from RNAcentral.
UACGUAGGGGGCUAGCGUUGUCCGGAAUCAUUGGGCGUAAAGAGCGUGUAGGCGGUCCGGUAAGUCCGCUGUGAAAGUCGGGGGCUCAACCCUCGAAUGCCGGUGGAUACUGUCGGGCUAGAGUGCGGAAGAGGCGAGUGGAAUUCCUGGUGUAGCGGUGAAAUGCGCAGAUAUCAGGAGGAACACCUACUGCGAAGGCAGCUCGCUGGGACGUAACUGACGCUGAGACGCGAAAGCGUGGGGAGCAAACAGG